This 2568-nucleotide ribosomal RNA is filed under the name Clostridioides difficile. RNAcentral describes it as "partial 23S ribosomal RNA". It matches the Rfam family "Bacterial large subunit ribosomal RNA", at positions 316 to 2907 of the family's 2925-position model. Lineage: Bacteria; Bacillati; Bacillota; Clostridia; Peptostreptococcales; Peptostreptococcaceae. The record is from RNAcentral.
ACGAAGAGGUAUCGUAAUUGAAGAGGUUUGGAAAGACCCACCACAGAAGGUAAUAGUCCUGUAUGUUAAACGAGAAGACUUCAGAUAUGAUCCAGAGUACCACGGGACACGUGAAACCCUGUGGGAAGCAGGAGGGACCACCCUCCAAGGCUAAAUACUACCUAGUGACCGAUAGCGUAUAGUACCGUGAGGGAAAGGUGAAAAGAACCCCGGGAGGGGAGUGAAAUAGAACCUGAAACCCUGCACUUACAAGCUGUGGAAGCACAUUUCUUGUGUGACCGCGUACUUUUUGUAGAACGGGCCAACGAGUUACGUUAAGUAGCAAGGUUAAGCACUUAAGGUGCGGAGCCGUAGCGAAAGCGAGUUUUAACUGAGCGUUCAGUUACUUGACGUAGACCCGAAACCGGGCGACCUACCCAUGAGCAGGAUGAAGCGAAAGUAAAAUUUCGUGGAGGUCCGAACCCACGAGCGUUGAAAAGCUCGGGGAUGACUUGUGGGUAGCGGUGAAAUUCCAAUCGAGCCCGGAGAUAGCUGGUUCUCCCCGAAAUAGCUUUAGGGCUAGCCUCAAGGUGAGAGAUACGGAGGUAGAGCACUGAAUGUCCUAGGGGGUAUUGCACCUACCGAAGACUAUCAAACUCCGAAUGCCGUCAUCUUAUACUUGGGAGUCAGACUGUGGGUGAUAAGAUUCAUAGUCGAAAGGGCAACAGCCCAGAUCGUCAGCUAAGGUCCCUAAAUGUAAGUUAAGUGGUAAAGGAUGUGGGAUUGCACAGACAACCAGGAUGUUGGCUUAGAAGCAGCCACUCAUUCAAAGAGUGCGUAAUAGCUCACUGGUCGAGUGAUCCUGCGCCGAAGAUUUCCGGGGCUAAAACUUACUACCGAAGCUACGGCAUCAUUAUGAUGGGUAGGGGAGCUUCCCAUACGGGUUGAAGCAUGACCGUAAGGACAUGUGGACAGUAUGGGAGUGAGAAUGUUGGCAUGAGUAGCGAGAUGUGGGUGAGAAUCCCACAGGCCGUAAACCCAAGGUUUCCAGGGGAAGGUUCGUCCGCCCUGGGUUAGUCGGGACCUAAGCUGAGGCCGAAAGGCGUAGGUGAUGGACAACAGGUUGAUAUUCCUGUACUACCGAUAACCGUUUGAGAGAAGGGAUGACACAGUAGGAUAAGCUAAGCACACUGUUGGUUAUGUGUGCCCAAGCAUUGAGGCAGUCAAAGCAGGCAAAUCCGCUUUGAUAAUGCUGGGAUGUGAUGGGGAGCGAAAUUUAGUAGCGAAGUAGCUGAUUUCACACUGUCAAGAAAAGUCUCUAUCGAGGUUAAAGGUACCCGUACCGCAAACCGACACAGGUGGGUGAGGAGAGUAUCCUAAGGCCAGCGAGAGAACUGUUGUUAAGGAACUCGGCAAAAUGACCCCGUAACUUAGGGAUAAGGGGUGCCACCAUCCGGUGGCCGCAGAGAAUAGGCCCAAGCGACUGUUUACCAAAAACAUAGGUUUCUGCUAAGUCGCAAGACGAUGUAUAGGAGCUGACGCCUGCCCGGUGCUGGAAGGUUAAGGGGAUCUGUUAGAGCAAUCGAAGCAGUGAACUUAAGCCCCAGUAAACGGCGGCCGUAACUAUAACGGUCCUAAGGUAGCGAAAUUCCUUGUCGGGUAAGUUCCGACCCGCACGAAAGGCGUAACGAUUUGGGCACUGUCUCAACAACAGACUCGGUGAAAUUGUAAUUCCGGUGAAGAUGCCGGAUACCUGCGACAGGACGGAAAGACCCCAUGGAGCUUUACUGUAGCUUGACAUUGGGUCUUGGUACUACAUGUACAGGAUAGGUGGGAGGCUUUGAAACCAGGACGCCAGUUUUGGCGGAGCCAUCCUUGGGAUACCACCCUUGUAGUACUGGGACUCUAACCAUAGGCCAUGAAUCUGGUCUUGGGACACUGUCAGGUGGGCAGUUUGACUGGGGCGGUCGCCUCCCAAAAGGUAACGGAGGCGCUCAAAGGUUCUCUCAGUACGGUCGGAAAUCGUACGUAGAGUGUAAAGGCAAAAGAGAGCUUGAUUGCAAGACAUACAGGUCGAGCAAGGAUGAAAAUCGGACUUAGUGAUCCGGUGGUUCUGCGUGGAAGGGCCAUCGCUCAACGGAUAAAAGCUACCCUGGGGAUAACAGGCUUAUCUCCCCCAAGAGUCCACAUCGACGGGGAGGUUUGGCACCUCGAUGUCGGCUCAUCACAUCCUGGGGCUGUAGUAGGUCCCAAGGGUUGGGCUGUUCGCCCAUUAAAGUGGUACGCGAGCUGGGUUCAGAACGUCGUGAGACAGUUCGGUCCCUAUCCGUCGCAGGCGUAGGAAAUUUGAGAAGACCUGUCCUUAGUACGAGAGGACCGGGAUGGACGUACCUCUGGUGUACCAGUUGUUCUGCCAAGGGCAUGGCUGGGUAGCUAUGUACGGAAUGGAUAAGCGCUGAAAGCAUCUAAGCGCGAAGCCAACUUCAAGAUAAGAUUUCCCACCGCAAGGGUAAGACCCCAGAAAGACUAUCUGGUUGAUAGGUCGAAGGUGUAAGUGCAGCAAUGUAUUUAGCUUAUCGAUACUAAUAG